This 487-nucleotide ribosomal RNA is filed under the name uncultured bacterium. Its description in RNAcentral is "bacterial SSU rRNA". It matches the Rfam family "Bacterial small subunit ribosomal RNA", at positions 28 to 507 of the family's 1533-position model. The record is from RNAcentral.
GAUGAACGCUAGCGAUAGGCCUAACACAUGCAAGUCGAGGGGCAUCACAUGAAGUAGCAAUACGGAUGGUGGCGACCGGCGCACGGGUGAGUAACACGUAUGCAACCUGCCUUCAACAAGGGGAUAACCCGUUGAAAGACGGACUAAUACCCUAUAACACAGGGGUCCCGCAUGGGAAUAUUUGUUAAAGGACAACCGGUUGAAGAUGGGCAUGCGUUCCAUUAGCUAGUUGGCGGGUAACGCCCACCAAGGCAACGAUGGAUAGGGGAACUGAGAGGUUUAUCCCCCACACUGGUACUGAGACACGGACCAGACUCCUACGGGAGGCAGCAGUGAGGAAUAUUGGUCAAUGGACGCAAGUCUGAACCAGCCACGUCGCGUGAAGGAAGACGGCCCUACGGGUUGUAAACUUCUUUUAACGGGAAUAAAGUGCCCCACGCGUGGGGUUUUGCAUGUACCGUAUGAAUAAGGAUCGGCUAACUCCGUG